GGUGGGCGCCCUGCCUUUGUUCCGCGCGAGAGGCAGGGCGCCCUCGGUGAGCUGAGGGAGGCGAGCCGCGUCGCGGGGCAGGGAGCGCGAGGCUAGGCCGCAGCUGGGCAACGAGCCCUUUACUGCGGUGUCUCGGGGGGUUUCCAGCUUCCCCGGCCAUCUGCGGGUCAGCGAGAGACGGCUGGUAGCAUCUGGCAGACACAGGCGCAGGAGGUGAAGCCGCUAGCCAGCAGGAGGGGGGAUCGGGAUCAGGCAGGGCRGUGAUGUUUGGGGCGCCAGGUCAGAGCGCAGAAAUCUCGCUAAUUUUUAUGAUGCAAAUGAAUGCGGUUCAAAACCAGCAGCGGGAGACACUGUGAUGGGAGCCAUUGUCUGAGUGUGAGGAGGUCUGCUGGAGCUGCAUACGCCCGUCCCUCGGCUCCACGUCUUCCAUCAGCGUUACAGCAGAGAGGCACCCUGUACUACGCAGUCCACAGCAAAAAAGAGGAAGGGGCCAUCACUUACCAGUACAACAAGGUGAAUCCUGAAGGGAGAACAAAGCAGUGUGGAUAAAGAACACAUCAAGGUGGCAUAAUCUAUAUACUGGGAGCAUCACAGCUUCAUGUUGGACUACUCAGCAGCAUCCUCAGUAUUUACAGUGCCCAUGACACCACCCAUGACAAACUUCUGAAGGCUAUCUGCAGCAUACAGUUAUUAUUAAGACCUCAUGAAGGCAAGAAGUUUGUGCAGGUAUAACUCAUAAAUUGGUCUGAAGAAUCUUAAUUGUUGUUGAUGAACUAGAAAGAAUUCAAUAUGGAGCUGAAGAUGAGGUUGUGAAUUAGAAAAAAACCCUUUAUUUUCUUGUAAACUGAAAAAAAUCUGAUAUUUACAUCAGCAAGAGAAUGAAUUGGAACCCCACAGUCACAUAGUACUGACUAACUUUUCAACUGACUAUCUGUGCUGUAGUAGGAUAAUAAUGGUCUCUGAUCUUUGCAGGACAAGAGUUAGUGAUGUAGUGAUUCACUCCCUUCGUGAUGCUGGUGUUUCACUACUCCACCCAGAUAUUAAAAGGGGAUGGUGUGGCUCCUGUAGGAAAGGUGAUCCUUGUGAAUUGAAAAGUUCAGAAUUUAGAACACCAAAGAGCAAUUAAACCAUAGGAGAAGGUUUAAGGGCUCUAUUUUUUGUGAAUCUCUUUAUGACAGAAGAACUUUAGGAAGGGGGCAAAUAUGCCAUGCAGAGUCUUUUCUUCUGUUUUGAAUCCAUGGAACUGCUGGUAUAAAUACUGAGAUAAGAACUAGCAUGUUGAAUGAUCGUGACAGUACGCAUACCAGUAUGCAACUUGACAUAGCUUUCAAAGUUGCAAGGAUGACAGGUUUGGUGGGCUCUUGCUGGGGAUGAGGAUGUAGCAGGGAUGGCUUCAGGCUGCCAAGUAGUACAAUUCUACUUAGAUUGCUUCAUGUCAAGGAAUAAUAGUGAAUGAGUAAACUUAUUAGCCCACUAAACUGUACAGAGCAGCAAAACUAGCUGCCUCUUUUGCUCUGCUGAAAGUAAUUAAGAGAAACAAGUUUUAUAGUUUCAUAAAAACAAUUUCACUUUCUUACAGAAGAACAUACAAAUUGUCUGUUGCUUCCCCAACUAAUCAUCUUCUCAAAACAGAUUGUUGUAUUUCUUGCCUGCUAUUUUGUCUGAUUGUUAAUAAGUGGUUAGUUUACACAGAUGGGUAGGUUUACUGUCCUAGCUAGAAAAUUAAGUAACAGUGACUGCAAUAAUGUAACUGUGCAGUAACAAAAGAGUAUUGCAAGUAAUUCCGUGCAGACAAGAUUGACAUUAAGGAACAACUUAAUAUAAAAAACUUAGCCAUCCAUCUGGGUGUGUCAUUUCCUUUGAGUUGGCAGUUUUCCCCAUCUUGUAUUUUGAGAGAUAAAAUAUUUGUCUGACUCGCUUCAAAACUUGUACUAGUUUCUUCUGUCAACUGUGGGAGCUCAUCCCGUAUUUAAUUAAGUCAUUGCAUUUGUCUGGAGUUUCAAAAAUGAGCAAAAAUCUCAUUAAAGGAAUAGGGGCAAGUCCUUGAACUCCAUCACUGAUGGUGAGGAUAUAUGUUGGGUAGUGUAAGAAAAUAACCAAUACUGUCUGGAAUAAUAUCCUUAACUAUUUUAGACUGUUGGAGAGUUCAAGAAAACCCCUUGUAUAAUAGCCUUUCGUGCUGUGUUUUCAUUAAGUCUGAGGCAGCUCAAUAAAGGAACUACAGCGUGAUUUAUUUUAAUCA
Long non-coding RNA from Apteryx owenii (little spotted kiwi), 2242 nucleotides. The record is from Ensembl. NCBI's taxonomy places the organism in Eukaryota, Metazoa, Chordata, Aves, Apterygiformes, Apterygidae.